UACGUAGGGUGCGAGCGUUAAUCGGAUUUACUGGGCGUAAAGCGAGCGCAGGUGGUUUAUUAAGUCUGGUGUAAAAGGCAGUGGCUCAACCAUUGUAUGCAUUGGAAACUGUUAGACUUGAGUGCAGUAGAGGAGAGUGGAAUUCCAUGUGUAGCGGUGAAAUGCGUAGAUAUAUGGAGGAACACCGGUGGCGAAAGCGGCUCUCUGGACUGUAACUGACACUGAGGCUCGAAAGCGUGGGUAGCAAACAGG
Molecule: ribosomal RNA, 252 nt
Filed under: uncultured microorganism
Description: partial 16S ribosomal RNA
Rfam family: Bacterial small subunit ribosomal RNA
Source: RNAcentral